RNAcentral lists this small nuclear RNA (197 nucleotides) under Oryza glumipatula. RNAcentral's name for it is "snRNA U2". It matches the Rfam family "U2 spliceosomal RNA". From Rfam's summary of the family: U2 is a small nuclear RNA (snRNA) component of the spliceosome (involved in pre-mRNA splicing). Lineage: Eukaryota; Viridiplantae; Streptophyta; Magnoliopsida; Poales; Poaceae. The record is from Rfam by way of RNAcentral.
AUACCUUUCUCGGCCUUUUGGCUAAGAUCAAGUGUAGUAUCUGUUCUUAUCAGUUUAAUAUCUGAUAUGUGGGCCAUGUGUCCACUUUGAUAUUAAAUUUAAUUUUUGUGGGGGAGGGCCCACCACAGUGGCUUGCCACUGGGGCCCUCACGCGUCGCCCAGGCGUUGCACUGCUGCCCGGGCCUGGCGCACCCCAA